This 484-nucleotide ribosomal RNA is filed under the name uncultured bacterium. Its description in RNAcentral is "partial 16S ribosomal RNA". It matches the Rfam family "Bacterial small subunit ribosomal RNA", at positions 29 to 507 of the family's 1533-position model. The record is from RNAcentral.
AUUGAACGCUGGCGGCAUGCCUAACACAUGCAAGUCGAACGGCAGCGCGGGGGCAACCCUGGCGGCGAGUGGCGGACGGGUGAGGAAUGCAUAGGAAUCUGCCCGGCUGUGGGGGAUAACGUAGGGAAACUUACGCUAAUACCGCAUACGACCUUCGGGUGAAAGUGGGGGACCUUCGGGCCUCACGCGAUCGGAUGAGCCUAUGCCCGAUUAGCUAGUUGGCGGGGUAAGGGCCCACCAAGGCGACGAUCGGUAGCUGGUCUGAGAGGAUGAUCAGCCACACUGGGACUGAGACACGGCCCAGACUCCUACGGGAGGCAGCAGUGGGGAAUAUUGGACAAUGGGCGCAAGCCUGAUCCAGCAAUGCCGCGUGUGUGAAGAAGGCCUUCGGGUUGUAAAGCACUUUUGUUCGGGAAGAAAUCCGUGUGGUUAAUACCCGUACGGGAUGACGGUACCGAAAGAAUAAGCACCGGCUAACUUCGUG